RNAcentral lists this ribosomal RNA (253 nucleotides) under uncultured bacterium. RNAcentral's name for it is "partial 16S ribosomal RNA". It matches the Rfam family "Bacterial small subunit ribosomal RNA", at positions 524 to 776 of the family's 1533-position model. The record is from RNAcentral.
UACGAAGGGGGCUAGCGUUGCUCGGAAUUACUGGGCGUAAAGGGCGCGUAGGCGGAUAUCUAAGUUGGGGGUGAAAUCCCGGGGCUCAACCUCGGAAUUGCCUUCAAAACUGGAUAUCUUGAGUUCGGGAGAGGUGAGUGGAACUCCGGGUGUAGAGGUGAAAUUCGUAGAUAUUCGGAAGAACACCAGUGGCGAAGGCGACUCACUGGCCCGAUACUGACGCUGAGGCGCGAAAGCGUGGGGAGCAAACAGG